AGUAAAAUAAUUGAUCUGAACGCAAACGUUACAUGGGUUUUUUUGGGGUCUAAAGCUCACAUUAAAAUUUAGGUUAAUCUUUGCAUUUUCUUUGUAUGCCUUAUCAUUAGUACAUGUAAAAGUAUAAACGCACAUGUUUUUCUAAAUAAAAAAUUUAGAGGAUGUUCCCUACUGGGAGGUCCAAACUAUUUUAAUUUAACUCUUUUUAGAAAAAUAUAUAAUUUUCAACGUGAGUUUAACUCAUAAUCUCUUAGAUUCAUACUAGAUUAUUCAAGAGUUUUAGUACGUAGUUAAAACACAUGUUCACGCUGUAAACGGAUGAUCACUUUCGUGAACUUUUGAAGACGAUGCAUUUGUUUCUUUUUUCUGUCAUAGGUACAUAACAAAAAUAUUUGAACAUUUUAAGGAAAUAUUAAAUAAAUGAUAGGAACUUAACAAGAAAAAAAAUAAAUAGCGAGGGAGAAUAUUUGGAAAGAUGAGCCAUAUUAACUCCGAAAUUCAAAUGUAUAUUGGGAGUGACAUAACCCCACCAACAUGCCUUGCGUUCUCUCACAAACCUCAUAAAUACUAAAUUGAAAGGUCGUGGGAGUUCCUUUAACUAAUCGUUAUCUAGUUAUGUAUCAUCCAUAGUUCAUUUGUUUAUAGUUUAGAAUCAGAUACUCGUAUUACAAAAUAAAUAUAUACAACAAUUUAUUACUGUAUAAAACACCAGUAAAAUACGUGAUGAAAACUUCGGAUAUUAGUUCAUGCUUAUUUUGUCGGGGCUACAAAUGGAUUAGUUCAGUUCAUGUAAUAAGAAACCAAUCAAUUCUCUUUUUCUCUAUGAUAAAAUAACUAAAUGCAUAUUUAAUGGAAAAGAAACAUAUUAUAUUGAUUUAAAUAGAAGAGUUUGAGGUGGUUAGGCCACAUAUUUAGAUGUUAUCAGAGACCAAUUUGUUAGGCCACUGCGACAACGAAUUUCUUGGAAAAUUCAUCUGAAAUUAUUUUGAUAAUUGAUAUCAUCGAUUGUAAAAUAUAUAUAUAUAUAUAUAUAUAUAUAUAUAUAUAUUUAUACACACUAGUAUAAACAAUUCAAAUUUAACAAGAACACAUACUAAUACCUAUAUUCAAAAAAGUAUUCUAUAGAAACAGUUCAAAUUUAAUAAACAACCUCCUUUUUGGUAUGGGGUUGUUGGUCUAAUUUAAUGCAUAGUCUCUUCUUCUUCAACCAUCUUCAUAUUUAUAUCAUCUUCUUCACUUCGCAGUCCCAUAGACUUUGUAAAAUAGCCAAACUCUUCUUUUCUCCCUUGAUUCUUCUCCUUACUACUUUUGACGUUGCCUAAGAGUUUUGUAAGGAUCCAGUGACCUUUCCCGGUAAAGUAAGUUUUUUGUGCCGACAAUCAUUUCUUAUAUAAUUUGAUUUGAUGUAUAGUUGAUGCUACUCUUUUGUUCUCGAUUUUCUGGAGCUGACUAGUGAUAAUCGGGUGAGACUGGUGUUGAUGUAAAGGUAACGCGAGAUAUUAGUGCGGUUCAAUCAAAUAGUCGUACUCUUAGCUAUUAGAGAUCGGUUUUGUUCGAUUGAGCCGUGCCAAUAUCACGCAUAAAACCAACAUGGCAAAGAUGGUUAUUAACUUAUAAAGUAUAUUGUCAGUCUUCUUUAAGCUUCCAAGGUAGAUGAUGUUAACAAGUAACACAAACCACAAAAUCCAAGUACAAGGGCGAAAACACUUCUAUUUUUAGAAAGUAUCAAAGGAAUUUCAAGCAAAGAAUAUGUAGUAACAUGCUAAGGGAGUAGAAGUUGUAGCUAUAUCGUAAAUGUUGUCGUGAUUUACAAUAGUGAGAAUGUUGCAACAAUUCUAAAAAGUUAUAUGUUUUUAGUUUGUAAUUAUCUGCACUUGUAGACAGAUUUGUCUUGGUUUUAUUUAUUUAAUAAGUGUAUGGUUUAACAGCU
Molecule: long non-coding RNA, 1930 nt
Organism: Brassica napus (rape)
Lineage: Eukaryota; Viridiplantae; Streptophyta; Magnoliopsida; Brassicales; Brassicaceae
Exons: 2
Source: RefSeq, a predicted model, not a curated record